This 258-nucleotide unclassified non-coding RNA is filed under the name Hevea brasiliensis (rubber tree). Lineage: Eukaryota; Viridiplantae; Streptophyta; Magnoliopsida; Malpighiales; Euphorbiaceae. The record is from RNAcentral.
GCCGAUGUAUCCGAAAUCAUAAUCAUAUAUGAGAAACCCUAAUUCAUAAAAAAAUUAAAGAAUUUUAACCAAAAGAAAGGAUCUUUAUUGAUUCAGCUAAAUCCACCAAUCACAAUCGGUUAACAGUCCCAAAUCAGAGCAAUCAAUUUCCAAUGAAAUGCUUUUAGUAAUCAACAAAGCGAUAUACGGACUUUGAGAGAAGAGGAAUAUAACCGAGGAAAGGCAAAGAUGUAGAGAGAGAGCUAAAAAGAAAACCCU